RNAcentral lists this ribosomal RNA (396 nucleotides) under uncultured bacterium. Its description in RNAcentral is "bacterial SSU rRNA". It matches the Rfam family "Bacterial small subunit ribosomal RNA", at positions 29 to 416 of the family's 1533-position model. The record is from RNAcentral.
AUUGAACGCUGGCGGCAUGCCUUACACAUGCAAGUCGAGCGGCAGCGCGGGGGCAACCCUGGCGGCGAGCGGCGCACGGGUGAGUAAUACAUCGGAACGUGUCCUUUCGUGGGGGAGUAACCAGUCGAAAGAUUGGCUAAUACCGCAUGAGAUCUCACGAUGAAAGCGGGGGAUCCGAGGGUAACUUCGGGCCUCGCGCGAUUGGAGCGGCCGAUGUCGGAUUAGCUAGUUGGCGGGGUAAAAGCCCACCAAGGCGACGAUCCGUAGCUGGUUUGAGAGAACGACCAGCCACACUGGGACUGAGACACGGCCCAGACUCCUACGGAGGCAGCAGUGGGGAAUUUUGGACAAUGGGCGCAAGCCUGAUCCAGCCAUGCCGCGUGCGGGAAGAAGGCC